UCGAUAGUCUUUCGCCCCAUGCGCAGAUUUGACGAUCGAUUUGCACGUCAGAACCGCUGCGAGCCUCCACCAGAGUUUCCUCUGGCUUCACCCUAUCCACGCAUAGUUCACCAUCUUUCGGGUCCGAACAGUUAUGCUCUUACUCAAAUCCAUCCGAAGACAUCAGGAUCGGUCGAUGAUGCACCCGUAAGGGCUCUCACCUCCGUUCACUUUCAUUACGCUUGAGGGUUUAACACCCAAAAACUCGCAUAAAUGUUCGACUCCUUGGUCCGUGUUUCAAGACGGGUGGCUGAUGACCAUUAUGCCAGCAUCCUAGCCGAAGCGCGGUCCUCAGUCCCAGCGGCGGUAUUACACAGCAGGCUAUAACACUCCCGGGGGAGUCACGUUCCUGAAGUCUUUAUCCCGCCGCCGAAACUGAUGCUGGCCUCAACCAAGCGGAGUGCACCGGUGAGAACACCGGAUGAUCCGCAAGGCAAAGGUCUGGUCACAAGCCCUUCCCUUUCAACAAUUUCACGUACUAUUUAACCCUCUUUUCAAAGUGCUUUUCAUCUUUCGAUCACUCUACUUGUGCGCUAUCGGUCUCUGGCCGGUAUUUAGCUUUAGAAGAAAUUUACCUCCCAUUUAGAGCAGCAUUCCCAAACUACUCGACUCGUCGAAGGAGAUUUACAGAGGCUCGGCAUCCAACCGUACGGGGCUCUCACCCUCUAAGGCGUCCUGUUCCAAGGAACUCGGAAGGUACCUAACCAAAAUCAUCCUCUACAAAUUACAACUCGGACCCGAGGGCCAGAUUUCAAAUUUGAGCUGUUGCCGCUUCACUCGCCGUUACUAGGGCAUCCCUGUGUCUUACCCCAGU
RNAcentral lists this ribosomal RNA (853 nucleotides) under Microdochium seminicola. RNAcentral describes it as "partial 28S ribosomal RNA". The record is from RNAcentral. Lineage: Eukaryota; Fungi; Ascomycota; Sordariomycetes; Xylariales; Microdochiaceae.